This 436-nucleotide ribosomal RNA is filed under the name Euwallacea fornicatus. Its description in RNAcentral is "partial 16S ribosomal RNA". It matches the Rfam family "Bacterial large subunit ribosomal RNA", at positions 1949 to 2597 of the family's 2925-position model. Lineage: Eukaryota; Metazoa; Arthropoda; Insecta; Coleoptera; Curculionidae. The record is from RNAcentral.
UGCAAAGGUAGCAUAAUCACUAGUUUUUUAAUUGGAAGCUUGAAUGAAAGGUUGGAUGAAGAAACUACUGUCUCAAUUAAAAUUUAUUAGAAUUUUAUUAUUUUGUAAAAAGGCAAAAAUUUAUAUAAAAGACGAGAAGACCCUAUAGAGUUUUAUAGUUUUAAGAGAAAGGGUAAUUAGAAUAUAUUUUUUUAUUUUUUAAAAUUAUUUGGUUGGGGUGAUUGAAAAAUUUAAUUAACUUUUUUUGUAUAAAUACAUAGAUUUAUGAAUAUUUGAUCCUUUAAAAAGAUUAAAAGAAAAAAUUACCUUAGGGAUAACAGCGUUAUUUUUCUUGAGAGUUCUUAUCGAAAGAAGAGUUUGCGACCUCGAUGUUGGAUUAAAAUUAAGGCUUGGUGUAGAAGCUAGGUUUUUAGGUCUGUUCGACCUUUAAAAUUUU